Molecule: long non-coding RNA, 500 nt
Organism: Xiphophorus hellerii (green swordtail)
Lineage: Eukaryota; Metazoa; Chordata; Actinopteri; Cyprinodontiformes; Poeciliidae
Exons: 2
Source: RefSeq, a predicted model, not a curated record
UCAGCCUACUAUCAUAUAAGGGACACUAGAGCCCACAAAAAGACCCCCUGGAGGGGUAAAAAAAAAAUUUACCUUUUCUUUCCCGUGUCUGACAGACUGUUCUGUCAUACAGCAAGCUGAUCAGCAGGGGGAAAGUUUUCACAUCAAGCUGCUUUGUGUUCAACAUGGAGCUGAUAAAGAGUUUGUGCUACAAACCAGUCACAAGGAGAAACAGUGGAUUGAUCUGAGCUGCACUGAGAGUCAGAUCCAAUUCGGCCUUUAUUUAACAGAGUACCAACUUUUGUUAGUAACUGCCAUGAGCAUCGCCAGCUAAAACAGGAACUUGUGUUUGGAUUCAGUACAACAUGAAGAUCGGUCUUCCUUCAGUUCUAAUUGCUUUGCCGAAAUCCAGAACACCACAGGAGAAGCAGGAAUCAGCUAAAAAUAGUUUAAUGUCAUAUAAGGUGGGUGUAAGAUACGGUUCCGGUCCAGGGGGGAACUCAUGGAGCUGACAGCGCACU